GACGAACGCUGGCGGCGUGCUUAACACAUGCAAGUCGAACGGAAAGGCCCUGCUUUUGUGGGGUGCUCGAGUGGCGAACGGGUGAGUAACACGUGAGUAACCUGCCCUUGACUUUGGGAUAACUUCAGGAAACUGGGGCUAAUACCGGAUAGGAUCUCCUGCUGCAUGGUGGGGGUUGGAAAGUUUCGGCGGUUGGGGAUGGACUCGCGGCUUAUCAGCUUGUUGGUGGGGUAGUGGCUUACCAAGGCUUUGACGGGUGGCCGGCCUGAGAGGGUGACCGGCCACAUUGGGACUGAGAUACGGCCCAGAAUCCUACGGGAGGCAGCAGUGGGGAAUAUUGCACAAUGGGCGGAAGCCUGAUGCAGCAACGCCGCGUGCGGGAUGACGGCCUUCGGGUUGUAAACCGCUUUCGCCUGUGACGAAGCGUGAGUGACGGUAAUGGGUAAAGAAGCACCGGCUAACUACGUG
Molecule: ribosomal RNA, 468 nt
Filed under: uncultured bacterium
Lineage: Bacteria
Description: partial 16S ribosomal RNA
Rfam family: Bacterial small subunit ribosomal RNA
Source: RNAcentral